GAUGAACGCUGGCGGCGUGCCUAAUACAUGCAAGUCGAGCGAACAGAUGAGGAGCUUGCUCCUCUGACGUUAGCGGCGGACGGGUGAGUAACACGUGGAUAACCUACCUAUAAGACUGGGAUAACUUCGGGAAACCGGAGCUAAUACCGGAUAAUAUAUUGAACCGCAUGGUUCAAUAGUGAAAGACGGUUUUGCUGUCACUUAUAGAUGGAUCCGCGCCGCAUUAGCUAGUUGGUAAGGUAACGGCUUACCAAGGCGACGAUGCGUAGCCGACCUGAGAGGGUGAUCGGCCACACUGGAACUGAGACACGGUCCAGACUCCUACGGGAGGCAGCAGUAGGGAAUCUUCCGCAAUGGGCGAAAGCCUGACGGAGCAACGCCGCGUGAGUGAUGAAGGUCUUCGGAUCGUGAAACUCUGUUAUUAGGGAAGAACAAAUGUGUAAGUAACUAUGCACGUCUUGACGGUACCUAAUCAGAAAGCCACGGCUAACUACGUG
This 497-nucleotide ribosomal RNA is filed under the name uncultured bacterium. Its description in RNAcentral is "partial 16S ribosomal RNA". It matches the Rfam family "Bacterial small subunit ribosomal RNA", at positions 28 to 507 of the family's 1533-position model. The record is from RNAcentral.